GAUGAACGCUAGCUACAGGCUUAACACAUGCAAGUCGAGGGGCAGCGGGAUUGUAGCAAUACAAUUGCCGGCGACCGGCGCACGGGUGAGUAACACGUAUCCAACCUUCCGGUUACUCGGGGAUAGCCUUUCGAAAGAAAGAUUAAUACCCGAUGGUAUCUUAAGCACGCAUGAGAUUAAGAUUAAAGAUUUAUCGGUAAGCGAUGGGGAUGCGUUCCAUUAGGCAGUUGGCGGGGUAACGGCCCACCAAACCUACGAUGGAUAGGGGUUCUGAGAGGAAGGUCCCCCACAUUGGAACUGAGACACGGUCCAAACUCCUACGGGAGGCAGCAGUGAGGAAUAUUGGUCAAUGGGCGAGAGCCUGAACCAGCCAAGUAGCGUGAAGGAUGACGGCCCUACGGGUUGUAAACUUCUUUUGUGCGGGAAUAAAGGAGCCUACGUGUAGGCUUUUGCAUGUACCGUAACGAAUAAGCAUCGGCUAACUCCGUGCCAGCAGCCGCGGUAAUACGGAGGAUGCGAGCGUUAUCCGGAUUUAUUGGGUUUAAAGGGAGCGUAGACGGGUUUUUAAGUCAGCUGUGAAAGUUUGGGGCUCAACCUUAAAAUUGCAGUUGAAACUGGAGACCUUGAGUACGGUUGAGGCAGGCGGAAUUCGUGGUGUAGCGGUGAAAUGCUUAGAUAUCACGAAGAACCCCGAUUGCGAAGGCAGCCUGCUAAGCCGCCACUGACGUUGAGGCUCGAAAGUGCGGGUAUCAAACAGG
Molecule: ribosomal RNA, 758 nt
Filed under: uncultured bacterium
Lineage: Bacteria
Description: bacterial SSU rRNA
Rfam family: Bacterial small subunit ribosomal RNA
Source: RNAcentral